GACGAACGCUGGCGGCGUGCUUAACACAUGCAAGUCGAACGAGUGGCGAACGGGUGAGUAACACGUGGGUGAUCUGCCUUGCACUCUGGGAUAAGCUUGGGAAACUGGGUCUAAUACCGGAUAGUGCAAGAUGAGCUCGCGGCCUAUCAGCUUGUUGGUGGGGUAAUGGCUACCAAGGCGCGACGGGUAGCCGGCCUGAGAGGGUGUACGGCCACAGUGGGACUGAGAUACGGCCCAGACUCCUACGGGAGGCAGCAGUGGGGAAUAUUGCACAAUGGGCGGAAGCCUGAUGCAGCGACGCCGCGUGAGUGAAGAAGGUUUUCGGAUCGUAAAACUCUGUUGUUAGAAAAGCGGUAUCUAACCAGAAAGCCACGGCUAACUACGUGCCAGCAGCCGCGGUAAUAC
This 405-nucleotide ribosomal RNA is filed under the name uncultured bacterium. RNAcentral describes it as "partial 16S ribosomal RNA". It matches the Rfam family "Bacterial small subunit ribosomal RNA", at positions 28 to 526 of the family's 1533-position model. The record is from RNAcentral.